GAAAUGCGAUAAGUAAUGUGAAUUGCAGAAUUCAGUGAAUCAUCGAAUCUUUGAACGCACAUUGCGCCCGCCAGCAUUCUGGCGGGCAUGCCUGUUCGAGCGUCAUUUCAACCCUCGAGCUCCCUUUGGGGAGCCCGGCGUUGGGGACCGGCCUCUACCGCCGGCCCCGAAAUGAAGUGGCGGCCCGUCCGCGGCGACCUCUGCGUAGUAACUCACCUCGCACCGGAACCCCGACGUGGCCACGCCGUAAAACACCCAACUUUCUGAACGUUGACCUCGAAUCAGGUAGGAAUACCCGCUGAACUUAAGC
RNAcentral lists this unclassified non-coding RNA (310 nucleotides) under plant metagenome. Its description in RNAcentral is "partial contains 5.8S ribosomal RNA, internal transcribed spacer 2, and large subunit ribosomal RNA". The stretch from base 1 to 105 matches the Rfam family "5.8S ribosomal RNA", at positions 50 to 154 of the family's 154-position model. The record is from RNAcentral.